Molecule: RNase P RNA, 401 nt
Filed under: Caldifarciminota bacterium
Lineage: Bacteria; Pseudomonadati; Caldifarciminota
Description: RNase P RNA component class A
Rfam family: Bacterial RNase P class A
About the family: Ribonuclease P (RNase P) is a ubiquitous endoribonuclease, found in archaea, bacteria and eukarya as well as chloroplasts and mitochondria. Its best characterised activity is the generation of mature 5'-ends of tRNAs by cleaving the 5'-leader elements of precursor-tRNAs. Cellular RNase Ps are ribonucleoproteins.
Source: RNAcentral
UGGGGUAGCUGGAUAGCCGCGCCAAUUGUAAUUGCACCAUUUAUGGUGCAUAAAGGAAUUUGGUGAGGAAAGUCCGGGCUUCAAAGGGUAGGAUGUUUCCUAACGGGAAGGUUCGGUAAAACGGACGGAAAGUGCCACAGAAAACAUACCGCCCGCCGCUUUGUGCGGUAGGUAAGGGUGAAAAGGUGAGGUAAGAGCUCACCGCUCUGAUGGUGACAUCAGAGGCAUGGCAAACCCUAUCUGAAGCAAAACCAAGCAGCCCUGUUUGAAGUGGCCCGCUUCAUUCUGCCAUGAAUAAUGGCGGAUACAGGGUGGGUAGGUUGCACAGAGCCUGGUAGUGAUAUCAGGACAAGAUAAAUGGCUAUCUAUAACAGAACCCGGCUUAUAGGCUGCCCCACAAU